Molecule: ribosomal RNA, 463 nt
Filed under: uncultured bacterium
Lineage: Bacteria
Description: partial 16S ribosomal RNA
Rfam family: Bacterial small subunit ribosomal RNA
Source: RNAcentral
GACGAACGCUGGCGGCGUGCUUAACACAUGCAAGUCGAACGGAAAGGCCUUUUCCGUGGUACUCUAGUGUCGCACGGGUGCGUAACACGUGGGCGUUCUGCCCUGCACUCUGGGAUUAGCCUGGGUAACUGGGUCUAAUACUGGUUCGGACCGCACUUUUGUGUGUGUGGUUGCAAGUUUUUUCGGUGUAGUAUGAGCCCGCUGCCUAUCAGCUUGUUCGUGGGGUGAUGGCUUACCAAGUCGGCGGCGGGCAGCCGGACUGAGGGGUUGCUCGGCGACAUAGGGACUGAGGUGCGGCCCAGACUGCUACGGGAGGCAGCAGUGGGGAAUAUUGCACGAUGGGCGCAAGGCGGAUGCAGCGGCGCCGCGUGGGGGAUGACGGCCUUCGGGUUGAAGACUACUUUCGCCAGGGACGAAGCGUUUUGUGACGGUACCUGGAGAGGAAGCACCGGCUAACUACGUG